AGGGCAGGGCUGCCUCCCACGGCAGGGGCAGGCAGAGGCCUCUGCGCCAGGUACAGCCUAGGUACCUCCUAUUCCCGUGGCAGACCCUGGGCCCCAAAUCCAGCGGGAGGCCUGGGAGCAUCUUCUCUGCCUGAGUCACCGGGCUGGGCCCAGGACCCCAGCCAAGGGCUUUGCCUCUGGGAAGAAAAGAGCUUCAGAGUCCAGCAAAACCUGGGAAGCAGGGGGAAGAUUCCCUAGCAGGUGCUAUUUGAGCAGAGGCCUGGAGGAGGGAGAUUAGCAAGUAUUUGGUGUUAGAGGCAAGUUAGCACCACACAGAGACUCUUCUGGAUAUAAAGGAAAGACUGUAAAGAAUUUGCAGAGAGAAUAACUCACACUAUGUGACCCGAGGUGAUUUUAUGCUUUGCCUGUGCAGCCUAUAAAAUAAUCUUGUGUGGUCCCCGUGAUGUACAUCAACCAGGAGAUGCUGGAGAGUCUGAGACAGCGUGCUGGCAGCACUCUGCCAGGGGAAGGACGCGGAGGUGUCCAGGCUCGGCUCCAAAAGCAGACAAGCCUGCACUGCGCUGGAGCAGGUGAGGAAUAGCUGGGUUCCACUGUGCCCUUUUCGUCUGUGUCCCUUGCCACCCAACACGAGCUCAGCACAUAGUUGAUCUUCACUAACUAGUCACCCCUCCAAGCUUUUGCAUUGGUUGUUCCCUCUGCUAAAGAUACCCCCUUUCCCAUCUUGACCACCAGACUAACUCUUAAGCUCAGCACCCAGGUGCCUCCUCCUUCUUCUCCUUGGUACAUGAGUGCCCCGCUUGGCGUUCGCUUUGGGGUGUCUAUACACACUAUUUCCUCUGCCUGGAGUAUCUUCUUCCAUGGGGCAGGGGUCAGUCAGCACCUUCUGUACGCAAAGGACAGAAAGCCAGUCCCAACUGUUUUCAGCCAAAAAUGGGAAAGACAGUGGCUCACAUAACUAGAAAGUUGAAGGUGCCUAAUUUCAGGUACAGUGGGAUCCAGGAGUUCAAAUCCUGUCCAGCUCUGUGCUGCUUCCUCUCAGGCAGGCUUUUCCCUUGUUUUGUCCUCUUUUUCUCUAAGCGUUCACUUGCUCACUGUCCAUCCAACGGAAAAUGGCAUCUCCUUCACAAAUCAUGGCCAACCCGAAAGUCCCAGGAUCAAGUUUCAUUGGGCAGGCUCAGUCAUGUGCCCAUCCCUGAACCAAUCACUAGAGCAAGACCCGGUCCCAUGUCCACCCCUGGAGACAGAGGCCUCUGGGCACCCCCAGCCUCAUGGACUGAGAAAAGGGAAGAGGGAGUUCUUCAGUAGGAAGUCGAGGUGCUGUUACCUGAAAAUGGGAGAUAGAUGCUGACUUGUCCACACACCCGCACCUUCUCCCAGCAAACUCUAGCUCGUCUCUGCACAUUGUAUGACCUCAGGCCAACCCCUUCCUCUCUCUGGGUCUCAUGUUCCUCCUCCGGAAAAUGGGCAGGAGGCCGUUUGAAUUCCAACAUUCCAGAAUUCUGGGACAGCUUCCAGGACUGGAGGCUGCUCCCUAGAUCCCAGGAACGUUCCAGCACUUCUGGGGACGGAAGUGGAGCAUCAGCCAGAGCCCUCCCUGGCCCCUGGCCUGGGAACAUGCUUAGAAGAUGACAAUUGGGCUCCCUUUGGCCGAAAUUCCACUCCCGUGGGGGCCUUGCCAAGGAAAACAAGCCCAAGAACCAGGCAUUAAAGAAUACUACAGCCUGGGUAAUUUACAAAGAACAGAGAUGUAUUUCUAACAGUCCUGGAGGCCAGAGAGCCGAAGAUGGAGGGGCUCACUCAAGCAGGGGCCUUCUUGCUGUCAUCCCAUGGAGAGGGCAUCCCAUGGCGAGGGCAUCCCAUGGCGAGGGCAUCCCAUGGCAAGAGGUGGCACGUGAGCAGCAAGGAAUGGCCAAACUCACUUUCAUGACAAAUCCACUCUCUCCAUCAUGAAGCCACUCCUGCAAUAACGACACUAAUCCAUUCAUAAGGACAGAGCUCUCAGGACCCAACCACCUCUUAAAGGCCCACAUGACCUUUGGGAGACACGUUGAGACCCUGGCGAUGCGGGGUGAGAACCUGGCCCCUCCCCAGGGCACUGUGGUUGUUUCUCUCAUAUAUGCCAGAUACUGCGCCUCGCAGCCACUUCGUCCCCCUGUUGCCUCAGUUGGAGGCCAAAAGUGACACAUCAGGCCACAGCCACCUACGCCGUCAGCCAUCUCAGCCUCCGUGACCUGAAGGGAAAUGAUGAAAGACUUUUCUAGAAGUAAAUGAUUUUUAAAACA
This 2282-nucleotide long non-coding RNA is filed under the name Pongo abelii (Sumatran orangutan). Its description in RNAcentral is "lincRNA". Lineage: Eukaryota; Metazoa; Chordata; Mammalia; Primates; Hominidae. The record is from RNAcentral.